RNAcentral lists this ribosomal RNA (253 nucleotides) under uncultured bacterium. Its description in RNAcentral is "partial 16S ribosomal RNA". It matches the Rfam family "Bacterial small subunit ribosomal RNA", at positions 524 to 776 of the family's 1533-position model. The record is from RNAcentral.
UACGGAGGGUGCAAGCGUUAUCCGGAUUCACUGGGUUUAAAGGGAGCGUAGGCGGAAUAAUAAGUCAGUGGUGAGAGCCCCGGGCUCAACUUGGGAAUUGCCAUUGAUACUGUUAUUCUUGAGUUCGGUUGAGGUAGGCGGAAUGUUGCAUGUAGCGGUGAAAUCCUUAGAUAUGCACCAGAACACCGCUUGCGAGGGCAGCUUACCAAGCCGACACUGACGCUGAGGCUCGAAAGCGUGGGGAUCAAACAGG